RNAcentral lists this ribosomal RNA (292 nucleotides) under uncultured bacterium. Its description in RNAcentral is "partial 16S ribosomal RNA". It matches the Rfam family "Bacterial small subunit ribosomal RNA", at positions 505 to 796 of the family's 1533-position model. The record is from RNAcentral.
GUGUCAGCAGCCGCGGUAAUACAGAGGGUGCAAGCGUUGCUCGGAAUUAUUGGGCGUAAAGGGCAGGUAGGUGGUCUUAUUUGUCUAGGGUGAAAUCCUUGAGCUUAACUCAAGAAGUGCCCCGGAAACGGUAAGACUAGAGUACUGGAGAGGGUCGUGGAAUUCCCGGUGUAGCGGUGAAAUGCGUAGAGAUCGGGAGGAACACCAGCGGCGAAGGCGGCGACCUGGACAGUGACUGACACUCAACUGCGAAAGCGUGGGGAGCAAACAGGAUUAGAAACCCCGGUAGUCC